Molecule: transfer RNA, 72 nt
Filed under: Pirellulaceae bacterium
Lineage: Bacteria; Pseudomonadati; Planctomycetota; Planctomycetia; Pirellulales; Pirellulaceae
Description: tRNA-Glu
Rfam family: tRNA
About the family: Transfer RNA (tRNA) molecules are approximately 80 nucleotides in length. Their secondary structure includes four short double-helical elements and three loops (D, anti-codon, and T loops).
Source: RNAcentral
GGCCCCGUCGUCUAGCGGUUAGGACACAGGCCUUUCACGCCUGCGGCACGGGUUCGAGUCCCGUCGGGGUCA